UGUGACUGCGUACCUUUUGUAUAAUGGGUCAGCGACUUAUAUUCUGUAGCAAGGUUAACCGUAUAGGGGAGCCGUAGGGAAACCGAGUCUUAAUUGGGCGUUAAGUUGCAGGGUAUAGACCCGAAACCCGGUGAUCUAGCCAUGGGCAGGUUGAAGGUUGGGUAACACUAACUGGAGGACCGAACCGACUAAUGUUGAAAAAUUAGCGGAUGACCUGUGGCUGGGGGUGAAAGGCCAAUCAAACCGGGAGAUAGCUGGUUCUCCCCGAAAGCUAUUUAGGUAGCGCCUCGUGAAUUCAUCUCCGGGGGUAGAGCACUGUUUCGGCUAGGGGGCCAUCCCGGCUUACCAACCCGAUGCAAACUGCGAAUACCGGAGAAUGUUAUCACGGGAGACACACGGCGGGUGCUAACGUCCGUCGUGAAGAGGGAAACAACCCAGACCGCCAGCUAAGGUCCCAAAGUCAUGGUUAAGUGGGAAACGAUGUGGGAAGGCCCAGACAGCCAGGAUGUUGGCUUAGAAGCAGCCAUCAUUUAAAGAAAGCGUAAUAGCUCACUGGUCGAGUCGGCCUGCGCGGAAGAUGUAACGGGGCUAAACCAU
This 597-nucleotide ribosomal RNA is filed under the name Salmonella enterica subsp. enterica serovar Saintpaul. Its description in RNAcentral is "partial 23S ribosomal RNA". It matches the Rfam family "Bacterial large subunit ribosomal RNA", at positions 592 to 1190 of the family's 2925-position model. The record is from RNAcentral. Lineage: Bacteria; Pseudomonadati; Pseudomonadota; Gammaproteobacteria; Enterobacterales; Enterobacteriaceae.